RNAcentral lists this transfer RNA (76 nucleotides) under Nitrosomonadales bacterium. Its description in RNAcentral is "tRNA-Lys". It matches the Rfam family "tRNA". From Rfam's summary of the family: Transfer RNA (tRNA) molecules are approximately 80 nucleotides in length. Their secondary structure includes four short double-helical elements and three loops (D, anti-codon, and T loops). The record is from RNAcentral. RNAcentral also lists the same sequence under 1 other name. Lineage: Bacteria; Pseudomonadati; Pseudomonadota; Betaproteobacteria; Nitrosomonadales.
GGGGUGUUAGCUCAGCUGGUAGAGCACCGGACUUUUAAUCCGAUGGUCAGGAGUUCGAUCCUCCUACACCCUACCA